CGUGCACUGGUGGGGUCCCUCAGCCUGGCCUGCACCUUCUCACAAUUUGGGACCCCUCAGGGGAUGUUAGAGAGUCAGUUUCGGCCUGAUCCUGCAGGCCAGGCUGAGGGACCCCACUGGUGCACA
RNAcentral lists this microRNA precursor (126 nucleotides) under Myotis lucifugus (little brown bat). RNAcentral's name for it is "mir-9193 microRNA precursor family". It matches the Rfam family "mir-9193 microRNA precursor family". The record is from Rfam by way of RNAcentral. Lineage: Eukaryota; Metazoa; Chordata; Mammalia; Chiroptera; Vespertilionidae.